This is a long non-coding RNA of Etheostoma cragini (Arkansas darter), 723 nucleotides long. RefSeq lists it as uncharacterized. The record is from RefSeq and is a predicted model, not a curated record. NCBI's taxonomy places the organism in Eukaryota, Metazoa, Chordata, Actinopteri, Perciformes, Percidae. The transcript has 3 exons.
CCCCCGCUGCGGCCGCCUGCUCUCAUCCACUUUACAGGCGCGGCACACUCCAUCUGAAACUAGCCAAAUGUCACCAUAAGGGCUUUAGUUGAAGGACAUACUAUAAUAUUUCAUAGCACAAAGUAAUGUGUUCUUUAGGAGCGUUUUGGACAACCGGUUUUUGACUGGAGGUUGAAAUGAAUGUUGAUUAAAUGUGAAACAGUGGCUUCGGUUUGUUAAUCAGUGUAUUAGUGUGUGUUUUGAAGCAAAUGUCAAUGUGAUCCUCUGUAAGAGUACAUGGCCCUAAAAUACAGUAUUUUUCAAGUAUCUCAAAAUUCUUUUUGUAUUGUUGUAGUGUCUCACAUUGUUGGAAGAGAUUUGCUGGAUUAUGUUUUUUUAAUUUAAUAGUUUAGUUUAAUAGUUGGUGCGACACGAUGAGAGCCUAUCAAGGGCUUUUAAACCUGUAGGGUCCUCGUGCCUUUUAAUUAUUCAUGAGUCGGGAAGGUUGAGCAUAAAAUCUAAACCUAGAUUUAAAGAUCACUUCCAACCUUCACUGAGGACAAAGAAAUGUUGACAUGAAGAAGUAGAAGUAAAUGAGCUCUACGCUACAAUAUGUCAAAGUGUCUCAGAAUAAUCACGCUUGUAUAGUGUACAUUUUGACUUAAUAAAAGUAGAACACUCAUUCAAAAUUUGUGAAUGGAUUUGUCCACAGGAAUGGUGUGUGUGUGUGUGUGUGUGUGUGUG